UUAUAUAAAUAAAUAUUUAUUAUAAUUAAUAUUAACAGUAUUAUAUAUUAUACAUUAGCUUACCCCGGUUGCUUUUCAAAAGCACUAGCAAUUCACAGCUGUGCCAAAGGUCACUUUCCUCACAUCUCCAGCAGCAAUGUUUGUUUCCUUUGUAAAUGGUUGCCUACCGGAUUAACACAGCAUUACAGCUCUUUGCUACUGUGAUGUAGUUAUUUUGUUAUUUUGUUAUUUUUUUGUUUGUUUUCUGUUUUCUGUACUAGCAAUGAUUUUUUUCCCCCCUCAGAACCUAUUCCCGACUUGAACUUUACUUUUCUGUAUAUGGGGCUCUUGAUGGCCCUGAUCAUUUUCUCAUUUUGCUUUCGCACCUCCCUUGUUUGUGAAGGCACUCUUCAUAUGACAGCAACUAGUCCUCUGUUUGGUGUACGCCUAACAAAGGGACAAGGAAAAAACUGAAUUCUUGAUCAUGUCUUUUUCUCCUUACUGAUGGUCAGUAGUAGAUACUUCAUUAGUAAGUCACAGUACCGGGAUCGCUAUGCCAGGAAUGCAGGAAACCACUCCAUCCUCCCUUUUUAAAAACAAAACGAGGGGCUGGGGAUUUAGCUCAGUGGUAGAGCCCUUACCUAGGAAGCGCAAGGCCCUGGGUUCGGUCCCCAGCUCCAAAAAAAAAAAAAAAAAAAAAAAAGCGUUAAAAACAAAACGAAGUUGGUCUUUUUAAGUUUUCAGACACAUUUCCACCAGUCUUCCAUCACUUCCCAUUUAUUCUCUAUGCUCACAGGGAGUCAGUAGUGCUCCAAAUUCAGUCAUUCUGGACCACCCUCCCCCAACUCUUGCCCUGUCCUUUGUGUACAAUUAUUACCUAUCUGAAAGUUUAGUUUUAAAGGAAACAUAGAUUUACUUUGAAGGGGAAGUUUAUAUCAUCACCAUUAUAUAUUUUAACUACUAAAAGAUUAUGAAAAUAAGAAGUCUAUCUGAAUACUACCUAAAACGCACCUUAUGCUGAGGAACUUCAUUAGAGCACACCAGUUGUCCCAGCCAAGUCAAGGGCAGGACUGGGAGUUUUCAGACAGUGAGUUUCGCUGCAUCCCGUGUACCACGCGGAGCAGGGUGAGGCCAUAGAGAUUCAUUUAUGUCUGAGGCAUGCUAUCCCGAAUGGCCAAUUACUUUAUAUACUAUGGACACUGGACAUUAGAACUUAGUCCUUUCAUCAAAAAUCAACCACAUAUCAGAAAAACAAAACAAACAACAAAGUAGGCUUCGAGGGCAGAGAAAGAGACCUUGAUCAAGUCCAGCGGACAAACAGCUCGAGGCGUUCAGGGCUUGAGACCAGUGCGCACCCGGAGUGCGGGCUCAAAGUUCUCAUUCUAGCCAGAACAUUCGAAGAUUCUUCUAAUUAUGCUGGCAUGAAAGGGUCAGAACAGGAGGGGCUAGCUCCCAGGGCUGGGCAAGGUCCUUGAGCAGGAUCGUCCUGUCUAGUCCGGAGCCCAGAGGGAGAGAGGAGUCAUGUGCUGGGCGAGAGCGUGGAGUCAGAUCCUCCUGCCGGUUUUCCUCUCCCUAGCUCUCAUCCAGCUGAUCAUCAGCUUCUCUGACCAGAAGACUAAAUCCCACCAGCACUGGAAGCGGAAAAUCGAAGCAAAACACGCAGGACAUGAAUGUGCGCAAAAGCAGACGUGUCCACUGUGUACUCAAGAUAAGAGAUGUAUUUGGUGCCGAGAAGAAAAGGUUUGCAAAAAGUACUGUUUUCCAUAUUCUGACUGUAAAUUCAGUUCUAUGUUCUGGGCGAACUGUAAUGUUGACCUGUUUGGACUCGUGAUGCUGAUACUGAUUGUAGUAUUAGUAAUAGCGUUCUUCUGGUAUUGCCUCGCCUACUACUUCUACAUGCAAGAGCGGAUGGCCUUUUAUUAUGCACGAAAUGGACAAGUUCCCGAUUACAACUGGAAUGCUACCGGGUAUUACUGAUAAAUAGCUGACAAGGCAGAUCUUCCACAGGGCGAAGGUGAAUGUUCUUCCAUGGGACUCUUUGUUUUGAAUCAAAUGGUACCGGAUGACAGAAGAUUGUUAAUUAUACUAACUAGAUUUAUAAUUACUUAAAAUUACAUAACUAAAAUAUAACUAAAUAACCAGAAACACCCACCCACUCUAAUGUGCGGACUUAUGAGAUAGACAGUUCUCAAACGAUGAACCACAAGUGUCCAACAAACUAACGGAAAAGCGUUCAUCCUUAACAGCCGUCAAGGAAAUACAAAUUAAAAUGGACGAGAUUGGAGCAGAGAGGCUGGAAAUGCUUAAGAAAGCAAAUGGCAGUGGAUUCUGGGAGGGUGAUUGUGGGACUGUAAACUGGACCAACCAUCAUGAAAACCAAGAUGGUGGGCCCUAAGAGACUAAACAUAGGACUGCUCUACCAUCCAGCUGAAAAGUACAUUCAAACGAAUCUUGGUCGUCUGCACUCUCUACUCCCUCCCUCAACAAAUGAAUAAAGAAACUGUGGAAUAUG
Molecule: non-coding RNA, 2491 nt
Organism: Rattus norvegicus (Norway rat)
Lineage: Eukaryota; Metazoa; Chordata; Mammalia; Rodentia; Muridae
Source: RefSeq, a predicted model, not a curated record